Molecule: ribosomal RNA, 301 nt
Filed under: uncultured bacterium
Lineage: Bacteria
Description: partial 16S ribosomal RNA
Rfam family: Bacterial small subunit ribosomal RNA
Source: RNAcentral
CAGUCGCCGCGGGAAUACGUAGGUGGCAAGCGUUGUCCGGAAUUAUUGGGCGUAAAGGGCUCGCAGGCGGUUUCUUAAGUCUGAUGUGAAAGCCCCCGGCUCAACCGGGGAGGGUCAUUGGAAACUGGGAAACUUGAGUGCAGAAGAGGAGAGUGGAAUUCCACGUGUAGCGGUGAAAUGCGUAGAGAUGUGGAGGAACACCAGUGGCGAAGGCGACUCUCUGGUCUGUAACUGACGCUGAGGAGCGAAAGCGUGGGGAGCGAGCAGGAUUAGAUACCCCCGUAGUCCCUGUCUCUUAUAC